CCCUUAGAUGUCCGGGGCCGCACGCGCGCUACACUGAAGGAAUCAGCGUGGCUUUCUCCCUGACCCGAAAGGGUUGGGAAACCCGUUGAAUCUCCUUCGUGAUAGGGAUUGGGGCUUGAAAUUGUUCCCCAUGAACGAGGAAUUCCCAGUAAGCGCGAGUCAUCAGCUUGCGUCGAUUACGUCCCUGCCCUUUGUACACACCGCCCGUCGCUCCUACCGAUUGGGUGUGCUGGUGAAAUGUUCGGAUCGGCCGUUUGUCGCGGUUUCCGCGUCAUGUGGCUGAGAAGUUCAUUAAACCCUCCCACCUAGAGGAAGGAGAAGUCGUAACA
Molecule: ribosomal RNA, 329 nt
Filed under: uncultured eukaryote
Lineage: Eukaryota
Description: partial 18S ribosomal RNA
Rfam family: Eukaryotic small subunit ribosomal RNA
Source: RNAcentral